Molecule: ribosomal RNA, 458 nt
Filed under: uncultured bacterium
Lineage: Bacteria
Description: partial 16S ribosomal RNA
Rfam family: Bacterial small subunit ribosomal RNA
Source: RNAcentral
AACGAACGCUGGCGGCAUGCCUAACACAUGCAAGUCGAACGAGAGCUUCGGGACUGGUGGCUCACAGGUGCGUAACGCGUCGGAACCUGCCCUUAGGUUCCGAAUUACUCUCCGAAAGGGGUGCUAAUACCGGGAAAUGUAUUCGAACAAAAGAUUUAUCGCACUUGGAUAGGCCCGCGUUGGAUUAGCUAGUUGGGGGGGUAAAAGCCUACCAAGGCGACGAUCCGUAGCUGGUCUGAGAGGAUGAUCAGCCACACUGGGACUGAGACACGGUCCAGACUCCUACGGGAGGCAGCAGUGGGGAAUAUUGGACAAUGGGCGCAAGCCUGAUCCAGCCAUACCGCGUGGGUGAAGAAGGCCUUCGGGUUGUAAAGCCCUUUUGUUGGGAAAGAAAAGCAGCAGGUUAAUACCCCGCUGUUCUGACGGUACCCAAAGAAUAAGCACCGGCUAACUUCGUG